AUUUCCUGAUUCGCAAAAAAGAAAAAGACGAAAGGUUUCUGAUAUGUAAUAAAACAUUUAAUAAGUUUCUUUAAUUUUAAUAUAUAAUACACCCCGCGAUAAAAAAAUAGUAUACUCCUAAAUAUUGCUAUUUUUAGAUGUGAUAAAACUUGAUCUUUUCCUUAUAUAUAUAUUUCAAUAGAAUUCCAAAGUUGUUUUUAUUGGAAGAGUUAAAUUGAAACGUAAACAAAAGCAGUCACCAAUGUGAUAAAAUGAUGACAUAGCCUCGAAAUUCUUUUUCUGUUGUUAUUAAAUCGUCCGACCGUGUACUGUAUUAUUGUGUGUUUGUUGUCGUUUUUUUUUAUUAACAUUUUACUAUGGGUAGAGGAAAAUUUUUAUCUGACGUCGAAAUAAAAACGGUUUUGGUACUACAUAAAGAGAACCAUUUCGUUUCAAAAAUUACACGCAUUAUAUAUUGAAGCAGAAAAUGAUGAAAACAUUGAAUUUGUGAGGUGUGCCAUUUUUUAUCGUGAAGUAUAUGUGUAUACACAUUUAUAUAUUACAAUGUACCAAUUAUAAACAGAACCAUACAAACACAAUAUCUUCUUUUUACUUUGUUGAAAGGUUUGUUAAAAUCAUGCAAAUAAGAUAUAUAUCUUUUAUUAUACACACUUAAUACAUUACUUAAAACUAUAUCAGUAUGUCUGUACUUCAUGUGUUCAAGAAAAAAAGACCAAAAAGUAUAACAAGAAUGAUGGUUUUCCCAUGAAAUAUAUAAGGGUAUUGAUUAUUUUCGAUUAAAUGCAAAUUCUGACAUAUUUCAAAUUAUGACAAUUAUUUAUUAUUUAUUUUCUUUUCUAAUUCUUCUAUAUUUCUAUCUGUAACAAAAUCCUUAUAUCAUCCAUAAAACAUAUUGUAGUUGUUGCUGUUAAAGUUCCUACUAUAAAGAAUCCAUCAAACAUUACAUUCCAUAUGCCUAAUCCUUUAAUAAAUCUCUGUAAAACAUUUUCAAUUAUAUCCUGUUCUUUAUCUUCUCCUUUAGUUCGUAUUAGGAACUAUCUAUUAUUAAAAUAAAUCUCUGGCUUCUUGAUUAUAUGGUUAGUUAAUUCAUUCGUAUUUUUUUACAUUAUCUAUAAUAUUCUUCCAUUUAUUUGAGUCAAAAGCAUUUUUUAUGUCUAGUGUAAUAAGUAUAACACGCAUUAUUUCUUUUAUUGGCCUUUCAUAGACCCGUUUUAUUGUUUCUGUCACAAUCCUUAAGGCAUCCAUCGAUGACCUUCCUCCUUUAUAAUUACAUUGUAUUUUGGAAAAUGCAUUGCUUUUUGAUCAAAGGCAUUAAUCUGCUAAGAAUAAGUUUUCCACAGGGGUGAACAAGAGCUAUAUAUAGGGAUUUGUAAGAAAGUGCUUCCAAAGGAUCUAUAGGAAACAAAACUAGAAAUUGUUUUUUUGAGGUAUCCAGAAGGCUCCACAAUACCAAAAAAUAUUGUAUAUUACAUACAAUACUUCUGGGUAUUUUCCUAUCAUAGUUUUUAAAGCUUCAUCAGGGAUACCAUCAGAUUCUAUCACUUUGCAUAUCUUGCAAAUCUCUACAUCCACUGUGUACAGUUCAUUCUCCUCAAAAUUCUUAUCUUCUAUUCAGAUGGUUCUUUUUUUCUGUGAAAAGAGCUCAUUUGCAAUCUCAAUGAGCUAUUUUUCUGUAUCUUGAAUAUCAUACUUUAAUGCUCCAAACUGUCUUAUUAUUUUAUAUGGCUGAUUGCAAGAAUUAUUAUCCAUUUCAUUGCUUGCUUUUUUCUAGUAGCUAUUUUUGUCAAUCUUUAUGCCACUUAAAAAAUUUUUCUUUGCUUUCUAAUAUGCUUUUAUCAGAAUAGC
Molecule: long non-coding RNA, 1845 nt
Organism: Vespa mandarinia (Asian giant hornet)
Lineage: Eukaryota; Metazoa; Arthropoda; Insecta; Hymenoptera; Vespidae
Source: RefSeq, a predicted model, not a curated record